GAGGCCUUAGAACUGUACAGGCCCGAUUUCAUCAGUCGUUCGCGGAGGCGAGUGAUGCGAUUGGAGCAAAGAGUGCUGGAGAGGCGGGAGCUCCGCCGUAAACCCCUCCCACAGGAAGCAGGAAGCUUUCACAGAGGACAGAACUGCACCAAGCCUCACCCCCUUAGCGAUCUUCACCAUAAGCCUGGAGAAAGAAUCAUCUCAGGACGGGAAAUGCAGCUUCGAUCACGUCGCAUGUAUAAGCGGUUACCUGAGGUCACCUGGAGAAGGCAGCAGGAGCUCAGGAGAGUCACAUCACAGACCAACCGCCUCAGAGCACAGUUGUACAAACAGAAACUUCUGGAUCAUAUUCUCCAGAGGACUACACACUGAUCUGACGCUUCCUAAAUCCCCUCGCCACUACACACUCUCUAAUCUUGUCUGCACUACACAACUGUGUAUACAUGUGAACAUUAGUGCUGCUACAGUGCCAUGAAUGCACUUAUUGUACUCAGCGGUUUAUUUUGCUUUUGAUUUUUUUUUUGUAGAAAAGCCACACUCUCGAGUGUAGUAUAUUAUUUAAGUGGGUUAGUCAUGCUAGUGCAGAUUUUCUGAGAAAAAAAAACAAAACAAAUCUGCACGUUCGCACCUGAAGACUGUGUAAAAAUAGUUUGGAAUUGAGUGUAUCUUCUGAAAAAGAUUUUUUUCUGCAAUAAUACAGCAGUGAUGUGUGUUAUUACUGUAUGUCAGGGUUGUCAAACUGAAAUUCACAAUGGGCCAAAAUCUAAAUCUGGGACAACGUCAUGGCCCGAACUCAAUGUUUACCAAAUAAAAAAUGUGCAAGCACAGACUUAAUAUUUAGAGGAAAAAAUUUCACAAGCACUCAUUCCGACCAUAUUCAGUAUAGUAGUUGGAGUGUACCU
This is a long non-coding RNA of Engraulis encrasicolus (European anchovy), 902 nucleotides long. RefSeq lists it as uncharacterized. The transcript has 4 exons. NCBI's taxonomy places the organism in Eukaryota, Metazoa, Chordata, Actinopteri, Clupeiformes, Engraulidae. The record is from RefSeq and is a predicted model, not a curated record.